AAGAACUUUGAAGAGAGAGUUCAAGAGGGCGUGAAACCGCCGAGAUUGAAACGGAUAGAGUUGACGAAACUCGAUCGCAUUCAUCCGAUCCGCCUAGCGGUUCGGCGGUUGUUGACUUCCUCGAUGAGGGCAGCGCCGUCGCUGGCUGUUGGGUGUUAGAUCGGUGUAUUUGCGGUCGGUAUGCGCCGAGAGCCUUGCGAACGCAUGUUGGCGUUGGUGUAGUGGACCACUCCCUCCGGGCGUGGAACCCUGCACUGACUGAGGCAUGUCGUUGGUAGGGUGUUGCUGGUUGACGUCUCCGCUAUGGUGCGUCGGCUUUGUCGGGCUGUUGUGGCUGCUGGGUGAUCGCAUGCGAGCGCCUGCAGCUUGCAAUGGUACGAUGAGGUGCGGACGCGCUUGGGACGUGCAUCUCGGUGUGAACGUUGACCACCUAUCCGACCCGUCUUGAAACACGGACCAAGGAGUCUAGCAUAUGCGCGAGUCAUUGGGUGGUAAACCUAAAGGCGUAAUGAAAGUAAAGGUCGUCUUGUUACGGCUGAUAUGGGAUCUGUGCGGCUUUCGAGCCACGCAGCGCACCAUAGCCCCGUCCCGGUUGCUUGCAAUGGGGCGGAGGUAGAGCGCAUACGCUGGGACCCGAAAGAUGGUGAACUAUGCCUGAGCAGGAUGAAGCCAGAGGAAACUCUGGUGGAAGUCCGAAGCGGUUCUGACGUGCAAAUCGAUCGUCUGACUUGGGUAUAGGGGCGAAAGACUAAUCGAACCAUCUAGUACG
Molecule: ribosomal RNA, 769 nt
Filed under: Pseudoterranova ceticola
Lineage: Eukaryota; Metazoa; Nematoda; Chromadorea; Rhabditida; Anisakidae
Description: partial 28S rRNA
Rfam family: Eukaryotic large subunit ribosomal RNA
Source: RNAcentral